This 434-nucleotide ribosomal RNA is filed under the name uncultured soil bacterium. RNAcentral's name for it is "bacterial SSU rRNA". It matches the Rfam family "Bacterial small subunit ribosomal RNA", at positions 26 to 466 of the family's 1533-position model. The record is from RNAcentral.
AGAUUGAACGCUGGCGGCAUGCCUUACACAUGCAAGUCGAACGGCAGCACGGGGGCAACCCUGGUGGCGAGUGGCGAACGGGUGAGUAACAUAUCGGAACGUGCCCUGGAGUGGGGGGAUAACUAGUCGAAAGACUAGCUAAUACCGCAUACGAUCUACGGAUGAAAGUGGGGGAUCGCAAGACCUCAUGCUCGUGGAGCGGCCGAUAUCUGAUUAGCUAGUUGGUGGGGUAAAGGCCUACCAAGGCAUCGAUCAGUAGCUGGUCUGAGAGGACGACCAGCCACACUGGGACUGAGACACGGCCCAGACUCCUACGGGAGGCAGCAGUGGGGAAUUUUGGACAAGUGGGCGCAAGCCUGAUCCAGCAAUGCCGCGUGAGUGAAGAGGCCUUGGUUGUAAGCUCUUUGUCAGGAAGAAACGGUGAGGACUAAGUA